This 651-nucleotide ribosomal RNA is filed under the name Triticum aestivum (bread wheat). Its description in RNAcentral is "partial small subunit ribosomal RNA". Lineage: Eukaryota; Viridiplantae; Streptophyta; Magnoliopsida; Poales; Poaceae. The record is from RNAcentral.
AUGCUGCGGAAGGCGGCCGUCGGGUUCCUCGCCUGCCUCGUGCUCUACCUCGCCUUCUCCUCCUACCUCCGUAGCCAGAGGGCUGCAUAUGUUCAGUUACCAGCGGUUACUCACAGGGUAUACCUGGACGUGGAAAUUGAUGGCCAAAAUAUAGGUAGAAUUGUUAUUGGUCUUUAUGGGGAAGUGGUGCCAAAAACAGUUGAAAAUUUUAGAGCCCUUUGUACAGGUGAAAAGGGCGAUGGGCCCAAGGGUAAACCUCUUCACUAUAAAGGAACACCAUUUCAUCGAAUCAUCCCAGGUUUCAUGAUUCAGGGUGGUGACAUAGUUAGAGGUGAUGGGAAAGCAAGCGAAUCUAUAUAUGGAGGCACCUUCCCAGAUGAGAAUUUCAGUGUGAAACAUACACAUCCAGGUGUUGUUGCCAUGGCAAAUUCUGGAACUGAUUCCAACGGAUCCCAGUUCUACAUAACCACAAUCAAGACAGGCUGGUUGGACGGGGAGCAUGUAGUCUUUGGCAGGGUGAUUCAGGGAAUGGAUUAUGUCUACGCCAUUGAAGGGGGCGCAGGCACUUACAACGGCAAGCCGAGGAAGAAGGUGCUGAUCACUGACUCUGGUGAGAUACCCAGGGAGAAAUGGGGCGAGGAAGCAGACUGA